Molecule: long non-coding RNA, 924 nt
Filed under: Olea europaea (common olive)
Lineage: Eukaryota; Viridiplantae; Streptophyta; Magnoliopsida; Lamiales; Oleaceae
Description: long non-coding RNA (OEUR_LNC009206)
Source: RNAcentral
CAACAGAAUAUUGAUGUUAAAUAUAUAUAACAAAAAAGGGUAGUUAUAUGUUAUCUCAAUGAUAAUGUUGCAGCAUACAGAUAUUGAGAAGUUCAUAUUUGUUUUCAAUUCUAGGCCUUGCGACUAGUGUAGUUAAUUGAAUCAAUUGCUUACAGAAUUUAGCAUAAAAGUGAAGGGAAGCAAGACAUUUCAUGCCUCAAAACAAGAAGGUAAUCGUGAAGGAUUUUAUCACUUCAUAUUUAAAUACUUAAAUGGCUUAUUACUCCGCUUUCAUAUCUAAAUGUCUUCAAUCCUAAUUUGAAUGAACAUGUUGAUAUCCAUCUCAAUUAAUACUAUGGGAAAUUGUUUCAGACCUAAACUAUUAUUUGGCAUUUUUACCAAUUUUCAAAUAUCUUAUUUACCAUCUUUUAUCGAUUUCUGAAGUAUUUUAAAACUAUAUUUUAUUUAAUCAACCCAGUAUUUGAACCAGAAAAUCCAGUAGCUGUGUUGGGAAACCCCUAUGACCCAGUCCCUAUGUUGAGUGUUUGCCUGUGUCAAGUUUAAAAGGAACAUGAAAAGCAUGGGAAUUCAAUUGAACAAUUUUUCGAAGUAUUUUCAUGCAUAAAAACACAUGAAGCGUUGUAUGCACUAACCUUCACGAAAGGUGUUGCUCCUGGGGCAGAAGCACGAUAAAAUGUUCCAGCCAUGGGACAUUUUACUGGAGGAUGUGAUGACUUUGGUUUCGCCAGAGCAGGUGGUGCUGGCACUGGAUUUGGAGUUGAAGGAAUGUGAGAAGCAGGAGCAGGGACAUUUGAAGGAGGCAAUUGUGGCGAAACCAUAGCCUGCUCAGUGGAAGGUUGUGCGUAAAAAACUGGAGCUGCAGCUGAUGGCUGUGGCAAUGCCUCCUUUUUUCUUAUAAGGACUUCACAGUCCAUUUGCUUAAGC